CUCAUUCUGGCUCAGCGGUUAAGAGAACUGGCUUCUUGCUCUUCCAGAGGUCCUGAGUUCAAUUCCCAGCAACCAUA
This 77-nucleotide transfer RNA is filed under the name Mus musculus (house mouse). Its description in RNAcentral is "tRNA-Lys". Lineage: Eukaryota; Metazoa; Chordata; Mammalia; Rodentia; Muridae. The record is from RNAcentral.